This 73-nucleotide transfer RNA is filed under the name Canis lupus familiaris (dog). It matches the Rfam family "tRNA". From Rfam's summary of the family: Transfer RNA (tRNA) molecules are approximately 80 nucleotides in length. RNAcentral also lists the same sequence under 1 other name. Lineage: Eukaryota; Metazoa; Chordata; Mammalia; Carnivora; Canidae. The record is from Rfam by way of RNAcentral.
GCCAGUCUAGCUCAGUCAGUAGAGCAUGUGACUCUUGAUUUCAGGGUUGUAAGUUCAAGCCCCACGAUGGGUG